This 253-nucleotide ribosomal RNA is filed under the name uncultured bacterium. RNAcentral describes it as "partial 16S ribosomal RNA". It matches the Rfam family "Bacterial small subunit ribosomal RNA", at positions 524 to 776 of the family's 1533-position model. The record is from RNAcentral.
UACAGAGGUGGCAAGCGUUGUUCGGAAUUACUGGGCGUAAAGGGCGCGUAGGCGGCCAUCUAAGUCGGACGUGAAAGCCCCAGGCUUAACCUGGGAACGGCGUCCGAUACUGGGCGGCUUGGAUUCGGGAGAGGGAUGUGGAAUUCCAGGUGUAGCGGUGAAAUGCGUAGAUAUCUGGAGGAACACCGGUGGCGAAGGCGGCAUCCUGGACCGAGAUCGACGCUGAGGCGCGAAAGCUAGGGGAGCAAACGGG